AGUGAACGCUGGCGGUAGGCCUAACACAUGCAAGUCGAACGGCAGCACAGUAAGAGCUUGCUCUUACGGGUGGCGAGUGGCGGACGGGUGAGGAAUACAUCGGAAUCUACUUUUUCGUGGGGGAUAACGUAGGGAAACUUACGCUAAUACCGCAUACGACCUACGGGUGAAAGCAGGGGAUCUUCGGACCUUGCGCGAUUGAAUGAGCCGAUGUCGGAUUAGCUAGUUGGCGGGGUAAAGGCCCACCAAGGCGACGGUCCGUAGCUGGUCUGAGAGGAUGAUCAACCACACUGGAACUGAGACACGGUCCAGACUCCUACGGGAGGCAGCAGUGGGGAAUAUUGGACAAUGGGCGCAAGCCUGAUCCAGCCAUACCGCGUGGGUGAAGAAGGCCUUCGGGUUGUAAAGCCCUUUUGUUGGGAAAGAAAAGCAGCAGGUUAAUACCCCGCUGUUCUGACGGUACCCAAAGAAUAAGCACCGGCUAACUUCGUG
Molecule: ribosomal RNA, 492 nt
Filed under: uncultured bacterium
Lineage: Bacteria
Description: partial 16S ribosomal RNA
Rfam family: Bacterial small subunit ribosomal RNA
Source: RNAcentral